Molecule: long non-coding RNA, 4371 nt
Filed under: Homo sapiens (human)
Lineage: Eukaryota; Metazoa; Chordata; Mammalia; Primates; Hominidae
Description: HSALNT0402237
Source: RNAcentral
UCAGGAGAAAGCCACACCCACAACUCACACACAUGGUGGGGGAGUAAAAGUUAGGUUGAAGAUUUUUCAUGUAAAUACAAUUCAGAGACAAAGAUAUUCAAAAGCAUUUGAUACAAGCAAGGGAGCCUGGUGACUAGAAGAAACUGGAGAAACAGAACUGAACUCGUCCCCACGGUCAGAGAUUAAAACCUGGCUGGGGGAUGGUGGUUAUCUCAGGAUAUAAAACUUAAGGGGGUUGGGAGUUGUUUAUUCAACAAAGAUGUGUUGAGCAGGUCGCCCAUGCCAGUCACAGUGUCAGGAUGCUGGGGAGACGACGAGAAAGAGAACAGACCACCUGUCCAGAUAAUUUGCCUUUGGAGUCUGCAGGGCUGGUGAAGGCAUCCUGAGAUGGGGGAGGCCCCUGGGGACCUCCACAGUCAGGGCUCCCACCUCCUCUCCCACACCGCUCUGCCUCAUGCCCUGGGUUGCCUGUCUGACUGUCUCAAGACUGGGGGUUCUCCGGUGAGCAGAUGGCUGCUUAGCGUCUGAGGGGCAGACACCAUGCCGUGGUGACAGCGUGAUCCCUUGAUGGAAAGGCCACCAGAACCACUGGUAGUGCAGCUGGACACUGCGGAGCCCUGGGACCACACCCGCUGCCUCCCUCCAGACUCCUUAGGUCUAUGCCGUGUGCCUGGCUUUUUCCAACCACUCCGAAUUGAUCAUUUCCUAAUGACCACAUGGCUCAGAAACUCACAGCACAUCCUUCUAGGGGCCUCUUUCUCCCAAGUCCUCCCAGGGACUUGGCAGCUUCAUCUCUAAGGCCUGCAGAGGCUGUGGCUAUGGCUGUCCAUUGUUCUCGCUCCUUGGCUUCAGUUCAGAGCCAUCAAAUCCCUGCAGCUCGCACACUGGAACAUUCAUAUUUUGGAUAAGGCCUUUGCUGUCAGUGGAAUACAGCAACACACAAGACAGACACAGUUGCCUUCCCGCUGAGGCUGGACGUCUACAAAGAAACUCUGGACAGCUAUUUGCCAAGGCGAUGGGCACUACAGAUGAGACGCACAAAUGAUAUGACUCAUGGGUGACGCUGGGCAAACCUCGGUGGUUGAGUCCUGUUGGGUUUUCUCAUAGGAGGUGCUUCCAGGAACAUUCUUGUGCAAGACCGUGUGAGAGUAUCUCCAAGAUAGACAAGUGGAAGUGAAAUUCUGGGCCAUAGUGGAUGAACACUUGCCAAGAGGUGUUGACAAAUUAGUCUUAAAUGAACCUGUACUGCAUUUUAAGGCCUGGGAGCUCUUAGUGGCCCCAUCCUUUCCAAAGCUUGUGUGGUUGGCCGAGUAAUGUCUUCCAAGAUGUCCAAUUCCCAAUCCCUGGAACUUCUGAAUGCUAGCCUGUAUGACAAAAGAGACUCUGAAGCUGGGAUUAAGUUAAGAAUCUUGAGUGGGGAGAUUAUCCUGGAUAAUCCAAAUGGGUCCUUAUAAGAAAGAGGCAUGAGAUCAGAGAACCAGAAGGUGAUGUGAGGAUGGAAUCUAAGAGAGAGUUGAGGAUGCUGUGGCUGCUGGCUUUGAAGGUGCAGGAAGGGCCAUGAGCCAAGGAAUGUGAGAAAUGGAGCUGGAGUUGCCAGAAAAGGCAAGAACAGGGAAUCUUCCUGAGAGGCUGCAGAAGGAGCCAGCUGUGCAACACCUUGACUUUAGCCCAGCGAGACUGUUUUCCAACUUCUGAGCUCCAAAACUAAAUUGGAGGCAGAAGGUUACCAACAUUGCCUGGUGUCCAGCCAGGAGGUAGAGCGUGGUGGCAUCCAGAACCUUCCUCCAACUCCUGCCUGGCGUGGUUUUUAUUCAUCUUUGUAUUCCCAAGAAACUUCUCAGUGUCUCAGGAGUGUUAGGCACUCAAGCUUUCCAAGGUGAAAGUGUUGGACACUCUUUCUUCAUCUCAGAUUUAAUCAACUAAGAAUGCUGCAAAUUGAACACCAGUCCACAAAACUCAGGAAUACAUGAAAAGCAUUGUGCCUUAUUUUUAACUAACUCAAAUUCUAUGUCAGUCUCCCUUUUAUGCUGGAUGUUGGCGCUAAAUCUCAGUGGGUUCCUCAUUCUGCCAGACCUGUGUCCAGUUUGGGGGCUUCACAUAGAGCCACCCCAUCACAGGAGAGGGAAGGGUCUUGCUCUUGGUUGCCAUCACUCCACCCUCUUGUCUUCCGAGCUUUGAUGUUCACUUUCCUUUUCACCACUCGGAAGCUUCCUGCCAUGAUACAUUGAGACCUCAAUGUUAAUGCCAAUUGGGGUUUGGGGUUCUCAUAAACUCAGAAGUCCAGGAAAAUCGCCUGCUGCCUCCCACAACACUCUGAGGGCAUUCUGGAAUCCUACCACUUACCUGGAGCCUGCUGGCCUCAACUGUUUUGAAGUCUGUGUCUGGGCCAUGCAGGUAAAUGGGAGGAUGUUCUGUGGCCAUAAAAAUACCCGAAGUCCCACCUAAAGUUGAUGCAGGGUCUUCUGCAUUUCAUUGCAAAAUUGUUCUAUCAUUUCUAUAGUUUUCAGCCUACAGUCAGGGGCCAGGACUUUGCACCCUUGGUAAACCUCAAUCUCUUCUCCUUCCUGGCUUCUACUCCUUUCUCCCUCAAUCCCAAAUCAAGGCCCUUGAUUGUCUGGAGGUAGGAAAGCCUGGUUCUGGCUCAUGAUAUAGUCUACAUCAUAGCCUUUGUCAUCUCAUGGAUUCACUCAACAACCGUGUGUGGAUGGGGCCACCCAAUAUGUGCCAGGAGUUGAGGACACGCAGGGUUAUGAUGAUGAAAUAGAUAAGGGGCCCACACUCACGGACCCUGCAGGACAGUGGAGCUGUGGACCCAGCAUGCGAGUAAAGACCCAGUGAGCUCACCAGACAGAUCAUUUAAAUCAGGUGAUAGGACAGUGAAGGGCGGGGGCUGCAUUAGUUUUGGUGGCAAGAGAAGGAUUAUCUUCUGAGAGGAUCCACAAAGUAAAGAGGGCCGGUAUGACUGGGUAGAGUGAGGACCGUGGUUGAGGCAGAAGAUGGAGCUCUUUAUUGAGCUCUAGGGAGCCCGUCGGAUGGGACCUACGGGGCUUGAGGGAGCCCAUCGGAUGGGACCUACGGGGCUUGAGGGAGCCCAUCGGAUGGGACCUACGGGGCUUGAGGGAGCCCAUCGGAUGGGACCUACGGGGCUUGAGGGAGCCCAUAGGAUGGGACCUACGGGGCUUGGCGGACUUAAUUUUAAAUGUGGAAGAAGCCAUUGCAGAGCCUGAACCUGAGGUGUGGCAUGGUUCGAGUUACUUCAAACCAAAUUUAUUGAAAUCUCUUUGCAUAAAAUGCAAUGCGUAGAUCUUAAGAGUAUAGUUCAAUGAGAUUUGAUAAAUGUAUGCACCAGUGUAACAACUCCUCCAGUCAAGAUAAAGAAACGUCCCUCACUAUUUCCUCAUGCCCCUUCAUAGUCAAUAUCUGAUCCACUCAGCCUAGGCAACCAUUGAUCUGCUUUUAUCACCAUAGAUAUUUGGGUAUGAGUCUUUGUAUGAUCAGCUAUUUUUAUGUUGCUUGGGUAAAUAUUUAGGAAUAGAACUGCUGAGGCCAAGGAUAGAAUAUUUAACUUGAUUGCCGACUGUUUUUCCCAAGUGGUUGUACCACGUUCUGCCUCCACCAGCAUGUGUGAGUUUCCAGGGCUUCUUGUCCUUGCCAGAUACCAGGUGGUUGCAUGCCGUGUCCCAGUGGCUGUUGGGAAUCACAGUAGCUGGGCCCAAGAUGACUCUGGAGGACUUUACAUUUGCGCCCAUCUGUGGGUCCUCCUAUGCCAGUGUUUCCCAAAGCAUGGGCCAUGCGCAUUAUUCUUUCCAAAAUGAUGUCAUAUGGUGCAUAGGAAUGUCAUGGAAUACAAUGGAAUCACUCUGGAAGGAACUUUUCCCUUCUCAGGUGUUGUUUGAAUAUUCCUGAUGUGAUCGAGGAGAUUAACUGCUACUUAACAUCUCUGCACCGCUUGCUAAACUCCUUGUUAAAAUUAUGCUUUUUAUUUUGAAGGAGUUCUAGAUUCACAUGCGUUGUAAGAAAUAACAGAGAGAUUGCAUGUACUCUUCACCCAGUUUCUCCCAAUGGUAACAUCUUGCGAAACUAUGGUGCAAAAUCAAAACCAAAUCUCUUUUUAUAACAAAGAGAGGGUUCCCACCUCAAGCUCAGAUCCUUCCCUGUGUAGCUAGAACUUAGUAACAGUGUUUUAUUUUAUUAUAUUCAGUUUCAAGGGUUACAUUCUAUUUAUAACAAAUGAUACUGGUUUUCCCUUUACAAUAAUGAUAAAAUUUUAUUACUGAGUAAAUUGAUUUAUGUUUAAAAAUUGAGUUAUUUUAAAGAAUAUAUUAUAUAAAUGAUUGUGCUAGCUGUAUGAAAAUGAAAGUGAAUGAUACA